Molecule: ribosomal RNA, 411 nt
Filed under: Triticum aestivum (bread wheat)
Lineage: Eukaryota; Viridiplantae; Streptophyta; Magnoliopsida; Poales; Poaceae
Description: partial small subunit ribosomal RNA
Source: RNAcentral
AUGGUGUUGCGGGACGACAAGGGAGCUGUGAUUUUCUCGUCCUGUCGUUAUCUCCGCUCAUGCUACUCGCCGCUUGAGGCGGAGCUAGCUGCUUGCCUCGAAGGAAUCGGUCUGGCACUCGCUCACACUGAUAACAACCUGAUCAUUGAACUUGAUUGUAAAGAAGCAGUGGACAUGCUGAAUGACAUAUGCAUGAAUCGAUCAGCUGUGGCUAGUAUGGUAGAGGAGGUGAAGAGCCUGCUGCAUGGCAUCCGAUGUCACAAAUUCGUGCAUGCAGGCAGGCCAUGCAAUGUUGCUGCUCACUAUAUGGCACAUAUGGGACGUUCUUCUCAGCGUACGGCCAUUUGGUUUAGCUCUGGGCCAGAGGAUUUAUGUAUGAUCUGUGAAACUGAGUGUAGACACACUACUUAA